Erigeron canadensis is the source of this 651-nucleotide long non-coding RNA. RefSeq lists it as uncharacterized. The record is from RefSeq and is a predicted model, not a curated record. Lineage: Eukaryota; Viridiplantae; Streptophyta; Magnoliopsida; Asterales; Asteraceae. The transcript is spliced from 3 exons.
GCAUUGCUCUUGAUCUUGAUUCAUCUGCUGCCUGCUUAAUUUGGUGGAACACUAGCUGCCUCUAUCCUCUUCCAUAUUGGAGACAAGUAUUUAUGUCUACUUAUUUGGUUUUUUUGUCUGAUCUAUGAUCUUGUUGGGUGGAUUUCAUCUGGUCGCUGAAGCUGAGACUAGUCGAAAUGUCGAAUCAUUUGCUGUCUCUCUCGACUAGAUGGUUCAUUUGGUUGAUUGCUUGCUGAUUGUCCUUGGAUUUAUGACUGCUUGUUUCUUUGCCGGUCCCGAUCAUUGGUUAUAUAGAUUCCGUACUCAGGCACUCAUGCUAACGCUGAUGUGGCUUCUUUCAACAAGCGAUCACAUUCGUCCCUCGAUUCUGAAGAUCAGAUUUCUUUUCAUACGUCAUCUUCAUAUUCGGUAAGGAUGCUUAAUUAAGGAAGAGUUGCAGCUGCUUCAGGAACCCGGAUCCUACGUUGGUGAAGUUGUCAAAGUAAUGGAAAAAUCAAAAGUUCUAGUCAAGGUUCAUGCCGCCGUGGUGCCAUGCACAUUAAAUAUUCAUGACAAGUAUAUGUAUAGUUUUGCGUAUAUAUGUGGUUAACUCGUGUUAUAAUUUUCUUUCAUCAUGGAUUUUUGCAAAUGACUAAGUAAUAAAUUAUAAUA